GGGCGUGUAGCUCAGCUGGGAGAGCACCUGCCUUGCAAGCAGGGGGUCAGCGGUUCGAUUCCGCUCGUCUCCACCA
This 76-nucleotide transfer RNA is filed under the name Carboxydocella thermautotrophica DSM 16521. RNAcentral's name for it is "Carboxydocella sporoproducens DSM 16521 tRNA_Ala_TGC". It matches the Rfam family "tRNA". From Rfam's summary of the family: Transfer RNA (tRNA) molecules are approximately 80 nucleotides in length. Their secondary structure includes four short double-helical elements and three loops (D, anti-codon, and T loops). The record is from RNAcentral. Lineage: Bacteria; Bacillati; Bacillota; Clostridia; Eubacteriales; Clostridiales Family XVI. Incertae Sedis.